GAUGAAGAACGUAGCGAAAUGCGAUAAUUAAUGUGAAUUGCAGAAUUCCGUGAAUCAUCGAGUCUUUGAACGCACAUUGCGCCUCAUGGCAUUCCGUGAGGCAUGCCCAUCUCAGGGUUAGAAAAUAUUCUCAAAUUUUAGUUUUGUGCUAAAAUUUGGAUCAUGUCAAGGAAGCUAUUACUAUUAUUGUGAUCGCUCUUUGGAAAUUGAUAGGUCUUUGAGUUGCUACUCAUAGAACGUGAUGAAUCUUUCUUCGUUCUAUUGUAAUUCACUCUGGUAGUCCUAAAACUUGUAUGCCUGUGGCAUAUCUUGUAAUUUGACCUGAGAUUGGGUAGGGAUACCCGCUGAACUUAAGCAUAUCAAUAAGCGGAGGA
RNAcentral lists this unclassified non-coding RNA (374 nucleotides) under soil metagenome. RNAcentral's name for it is "partial contains internal transcribed spacer 2 and large subunit ribosomal RNA". The stretch from base 1 to 120 matches the Rfam family "5.8S ribosomal RNA", at positions 35 to 154 of the family's 154-position model. The record is from RNAcentral.